UUGCUCACUUUGGCAGCACAUAUACUAAAAUUGGAACGAUAGAGAGAAGAUUAGCAUGGCCCCUGUGCAAGGGUGACUCGCAAAAUCUUGAAGCGUUCCAUAUUAAA
Molecule: small nuclear RNA, 107 nt
Organism: Equus asinus (donkey)
Lineage: Eukaryota; Metazoa; Chordata; Mammalia; Perissodactyla; Equidae
Source: Ensembl